Molecule: transfer RNA, 72 nt
Filed under: Ictidomys tridecemlineatus (thirteen-lined ground squirrel)
Lineage: Eukaryota; Metazoa; Chordata; Mammalia; Rodentia; Sciuridae
Description: Spermophilus tridecemlineatus (thirteen-lined ground squirrel) tRNA
Rfam family: tRNA
About the family: Transfer RNA (tRNA) molecules are approximately 80 nucleotides in length.
Source: Rfam by way of RNAcentral
AGAGUUGUAGUUUAGUGGUAGAAUGCUUGCCUAGAAUAUGUGAGGCCCUGGGUUCAAUUCCCAGCACCACAU